This 198-nucleotide ribosomal RNA is filed under the name uncultured bacterium. Its description in RNAcentral is "partial 16S ribosomal RNA". It matches the Rfam family "Bacterial small subunit ribosomal RNA", at positions 323 to 537 of the family's 1533-position model. The record is from RNAcentral.
UCCGAAUUCGCCCUUCCUACGGGAGGCAGCAGCGAGGAAUCUUGGUCAAUGGGGGCAACCCUGAACCAGCGACGCCGCGUGGAGGACGACGGCCCUUGGGUCGUAAACUCCUUUUGCCGGGGAAGAAUGAUGACGGUACCCGGCGAAUAAGCCACGGCUAACUACCUGCCAGCAGCCCCGGUAAUAAGGGCGAAUUCC